GGAAAUCUCACCAGGCCCGGACACUGGAAGGAUUGACAGAUUGAUAGCUCUUUCUUGUUAGCAAUAACAGGUCUUUGAUGCCCGGCUUAAUUUGACUCAACGCGGGAAAUCUCACCAGGCCCGGACACUGGAAGGAUUGACAGAUUGAUAGCUCUUUCUUGUUAGCAAUAA
RNAcentral lists this ribosomal RNA (171 nucleotides) under uncultured eukaryote. Its description in RNAcentral is "partial 18S ribosomal RNA". The stretch from base 83 to 171 matches the Rfam family "Eukaryotic small subunit ribosomal RNA", at positions 1186 to 1273 of the family's 1831-position model. The record is from RNAcentral.